RNAcentral lists this ribosomal RNA (494 nucleotides) under uncultured Rhodocyclaceae bacterium. Its description in RNAcentral is "bacterial SSU rRNA". It matches the Rfam family "Bacterial small subunit ribosomal RNA", at positions 888 to 1382 of the family's 1533-position model. The record is from RNAcentral. Lineage: Bacteria; Pseudomonadati; Pseudomonadota; Betaproteobacteria; Rhodocyclales; Rhodocyclaceae.
CCCGCUCAGAAACUUAAAGGAAUUGACGGGGACCCGCACAAGCGGUGGAUGAUGUGGAUUAAUUCGAUGCAACGCGAAAAACCUUACCUACCCUUGACAUGCCAGGAAUCCUGCAGAGAUGUGGGAGUGCUCGAAAGAGAACCUGGACACAGGUGCUGCAUGGCUGUCGUCAGCUCGUGUCGUGAGAUGUUGGGUUAAGUCCCGCAACGAGCGCAACCUUGUCAUUAGUUGCCAUCAUUAAGUUGGGCACUCUAAUGAGACUGCCGGUGACAAACCGGAGGAAGGUGGGGAUGACGUCAAGUCCUCAUGGCCCUUAUGGGUAGGGCUUCACACGUCAUACAAUGGUCGGUACAAAGGGUUGCCAAGCCGCGAGGUGGAGCCAAUCCCAGAAAGCCGAUCGUAGUCCGGAUCGGAGUCUGCAACUCGACUCCGUGAAGUCGGAAUCGCUAGUAAUCGUGGAUCAGCAUGCCACGGUGAAUACGUUCCCGGGUCUU